Ctenopharyngodon idella (grass carp) is the source of this 2253-nucleotide long non-coding RNA. RefSeq lists it as uncharacterized. NCBI's taxonomy places the organism in Eukaryota, Metazoa, Chordata, Actinopteri, Cypriniformes, Xenocyprididae. The record is from RefSeq and is a predicted model, not a curated record. The transcript is spliced from 3 exons.
GAGGAACUGACAUGACUGAUGGUCAGUGCGAUUCAGUGAAAGUGCAGCUAAUGGCAAACACCUUUAAUAAUAUGUCUUUUGAAAAACAGCUCCUUAUUAAAGCAGUCGAAUAAAUAUGUGAACACAGCUGUCUUUCAUUCACAGGUGUAAAGAGAAGAAGAGCAAUGGCAGAAUCUUUAACAGAGGAGAGGAGUAUUGAUAAUAUUACAAACAUGUCGUCCUCCCGUGGUCCUCUGGCUGUGGAGCUUCAGUGUUCAGUGUGUCUGGAUGUGUUCACUGAUCCAGUCAGCACUCCAUGUGGACACACUUUCUGUAAGAGCUGCCUGAACCAGUGUUGGGACAACAAACAGGACUGCUACUGUCCACUCUGUAAUGAAACAUUCAGUAAAAGACCUGACCUCAAGAUCAACAUAGCCCUUAGACAAGUUGCGCAACUCUUUAAAGAAAAGUUCAGUCUGAGUAAAACUGAAGUUCUCUGUGACAUCUGUGAUGAUGAAAGAAAAAUAAAAGCCCUGAAGUCCUGUCUGGUGUGUCAGACCUCUUACUGUGAGACUCACCUGGAGCCUCAUCAGAGAGUCCUGAACUUGAAGAAACACAAACUGAUGGACCCUGUGGACAAUAUAAAGGACUAUAUAUGCCAGAAACAUGAGAGACCUCUGGAGUUAUUAUGUAAAGAUGAUCAGACAUAUAUAUGUGUGUUUUGCACUGAUGGAGACCACAAAACUCACAACACUGUUCCUCUAGAGGAGGAGGGUAAAGAGAAGAAGGCACGAGUUACCAACAACACUGAACAUACUUUAAUAAUAUGGUUUUAAAUAUUCUAAAAAAGAUAUUUUUUCAGAAGAUAGAAGAUAGAUGUAGAGUGAUAAAAUGUCACUGUCUGUGUGUUUCUGUAUCUAUAGACUCAGCUGAUGAAGAUACAGAAGGACGUGCAGAAGAUGAUCCAGAACAGAAUGGAGAAGAUUCAAGAUAUCGAACAUUCUGCAGAACUAAGAAAAGUGAGUACAAGAUGUUCAGAAGAGAAAAUUUUGUUGAAUAAAGUCGUUAUUUUUGUUUUGUUUUUGCCCACAAAAAGUAUUCUUGUCGCUUCAUAAAAUAAACGUUCAACCACUGCAGUCACGUUGACGGUUUUAACGAUGUCUUUAGUACCUUUCUGGACCUUGAAAGUAUGGACGAGUCAUAUACCUCAUGGGUUUCAUCAAAAAUAUCUUAAUUUGUAUUCAGAAGAUAAACGAAGGUCUUACGGGUGUAUAAGGACAUGAGGGUGAGUAAUUAAUGACAGAAUUUUCAUUUUCAACUAACCCUUUAAGAACUAGUCUGACCAACUAGCAGUUAACCAAGGGGUAAUCAGUCCUACUUUUCGGAUUCAAAUUAGACCAGUGUACCUUUUUAUGUAACUGACUUUAAAAAGUAAAUUAGACAACUAGCAAUAGUCUAAGCAGUUUAAGCAACCGGCCACAGAUUUCAGCAAAAUUUAGAUCAUAAGUGCAGUGCAGUACUAAAUGAUAUUUUAUUAACAACGUUCUGAAGGAGCACGUUCAAAUAAUCUACCCAAUCAGCACGAGAGGAGGCAUAUAUGUAGAUAUAGCCAAUUUACCUCUGGUCCACAACAUUUCCAGCACAUGAGGUUGCCUUCCCAAUCAGUGCGGGCCCUGAUGCCAUCUUUUCCUCCUUCGUUUCUCCCUGCACCUCGUCCAACCCAAAGGGCCUGACCCAAGUGUGAGGCUGCCUCCGCAAAUGGCCACAGCCCCAGCCCUCUUCCCUCCUACCUCCCUGCUUCACUCCUGCCCCGGCUAGGUGCCCGCGUACCUCAGCCGUUUCAACUCCUCCUCAAACUCCAAGUUAACUGCUUCCGGAAAAUCUCCCUUUCUUAAAAUAGGAAAGUAGACAGUCAGCUGAUUAUGGUACGCUCUCACCGGCGCAAACAUACAUUUUUCACAAAGAAGAAAUCCAGCUCUAAAUUACCGGCCAGAAAACAUCUAUCGCUCCUCCCACUCCCAGUCGCUCUUCUAAACGAUUUUACUCUUGCAGCACAAUUUUGGGGGUUUUCUUUGUCAAUCUGUCUCCCAGCGGCUGUCCAGCACUUAAUUGCUUUUUUGGGGGAAUACUCAGGGUUCGGGCCAAAUUCCGAGCACGGAGCCUUCCCCUCAGACAGCACACCAAAUACGCAUAUUCUGUAUUAUAUCUGAUUAUAUGUAAAUGUGAACUCAUGAACAAUUGCAUGAUAUGUAGCACACAUUUUCUCUAGUUGUU